RNAcentral lists this ribosomal RNA (465 nucleotides) under Vreelandella stevensii. RNAcentral's name for it is "partial 16S ribosomal RNA". It matches the Rfam family "Bacterial small subunit ribosomal RNA", at positions 338 to 795 of the family's 1533-position model. The record is from RNAcentral. Lineage: Bacteria; Pseudomonadati; Pseudomonadota; Gammaproteobacteria; Oceanospirillales; Halomonadaceae.
CCUACGGGUGGCAGCAGUGGGGAAUAUUGGACAAUGGGGGCAACCCUGAUCCAGCCAUGCCGCGUGUGUGAAGAAGGCCCUCGGGUUGUAAAGCACUUUCAGUGAGGAAGAACGCCUGGUGGUUAAUACCCAUCAGGAAAGACAUCACUCACAGAAGAAGCACCGGCUAACUCCGUGCCAGCAGCCGCGGUAAUACGGAGGGUGCGAGCGUUAAUCGGAAUUACUGGGCGUAAAGCGCGCGUAGGUGGCUUGAUAAGCCGGUUGUGAAAGCCCCGGGCUCAACCUGGGAACGGCAUCCGGAACUGUCAAGCUAGAGUGCAGGAGAGGAAGGUAGAAUUCCCGGUGUAGCGGUGAUAUGCGUAGAGAUCGGGAGGAAUACCAGUGGCGAAGGCGGCCUUCUGGACUGACACUGACACUGAGGUGCGAAAGCGUGGGUAGCAAACAGGAUUAGAUACCCUGGUAGUC